This 450-nucleotide ribosomal RNA is filed under the name uncultured bacterium. Its description in RNAcentral is "partial 16S ribosomal RNA". It matches the Rfam family "Bacterial small subunit ribosomal RNA", at positions 354 to 796 of the family's 1533-position model. The record is from RNAcentral.
GUAGGGAAUCUUCCACAAUGGGCGCAAGCCUGAUGGAGCAACACCGCGUGAGUGAAGAAGGGUUUCGGCUCGUAAAGCUCUGUUGUUAAAGAAGAACACGUAUGAGAGUAACUGUUCAUACGUUGACGGUAUUUAACCAGAAAGUCACGGCUAACUACGUGCCAGCAGCCGCGGUAAUACGUAGGUGGCAAGCGUUAUCCGGAUUUAUUGGGCGUAAAGAGAGUGCAGGGGGUUUUCUAAGUCUGAUGUGAAAGCCUUCGGCUUAACCGGAGAAGUGCAGCGGAAACUGGAUAACUUGAGUGCAGAAGAGGGUAGUGGAACUCCAUGUGUAGCGGUGGAAUGCGUAGAUAUAUGGAAGAACACCAGUGGCGAAGGCGGCUACCUGGUCUGCAACUGACGCUGAGACUCGAAAGCAUGGGUAGCGAACAGGAUUAGAUACCCGUGUAGUCC